This 253-nucleotide ribosomal RNA is filed under the name uncultured bacterium. RNAcentral describes it as "partial 16S ribosomal RNA". It matches the Rfam family "Bacterial small subunit ribosomal RNA", at positions 524 to 776 of the family's 1533-position model. The record is from RNAcentral.
UACGGAGGGUGCAAGCGUUGUUCGGAAUUACUGGGCGUAAAGCGCGUGUAGGUGGUUCGGUAAGUCGAAUGUGGAAGCCCCGGGCUCAACCCGGGAAGUGCAUCCGAAACUGCCGAACUAGAGUCCCGGAGAGGAAGGCAGAAUUCCCAAUGUAGGGGUGAAAUCCGUAGAUAUUGGGAGGAAUACCGGUGGCGAAGGUGGCCUUCGGGACGGUGAUUGACACUCAGACGCGAAAGCGUGGGGAGCAAACAGG